This 1474-nucleotide long non-coding RNA is filed under the name Homo sapiens (human). RNAcentral describes it as "HSALNT0347227". Lineage: Eukaryota; Metazoa; Chordata; Mammalia; Primates; Hominidae. The record is from RNAcentral.
CAUAUUUCUAUCAUUGUAAAGUGAAGUUCUUAGAAGCAAUGCUGUGGCCAGUACUGUACUUCUGUAUCAGAUACUUGUUAUUCUGCAGAUGCUGGUGUUGGCUCUGUUGUGAGAGGUGUGGAGAACAAAUCUAAACCCAGAAUAAGUGUUUAUUCCAUUUAUUGCCAGUGACUCCCUAUUUCAUGGUGGAAAGAGUCCAAUGUAAACAAUUGCCAAGCAGCUGCUUAGUUACCUUGAAGCACAAGAUCUUAUCAAGAGUUCAAGGCUUUGAAGAACAAGCUGCCAUGAAUCCUGCAGCUACAAGGAAAUGAACUCUAUUAACUUGAGUGAGCUUAAAACUAGAUCCUUCCCCAGUCAAGCCUCCAGGUGAGAAUUCAAUCCUGGCUGGCACCUGGAUUGCAGCUUACAGAAGACCCAGCUAAGGCCAUGUCUGGACUUUAAAUCCACAGGAACUGCAAGAUGGUAUCAGAAGUGGGACCUGCAGUGGGGCAUCUAGCAACCCCCAGGAGCAUUGAGUGACCAGGCUUGGGACCCACCGGGCGCAGGGUGUCCAUUGUUCUCUCGAAGCAACUGAGAAUUGUGGAUAUUCUUCAUUAUUCCAUCAUCAUCUCAAACCUCUUGGGUAUAGUGUUUGACUACUACUGUGACCAUAAAUUCCAAUAAAACCUAGGAAAAAUGAAACCACUACAUUAACUGAAAGGGAAGGAUUUGACAGCUUCUUUUGGGCAUAUCAGAAUCGCCAGCAUCACUACUCUUGCACUGUGCGGCCAUUAUUAAGUGAAAUAAGGAUUACUUGAACACAAGCACUGCAAUGCCGCUACAGUCAAUGUGAUAACCCAGCUGGUGACUAAGUGACCAAGGACGGGGAGUAUCUACAGCGGGGAGACUCUGGAAAAAGGGAGGAUUCACAUCCAGUGCCACUGGGGCAGGGCAGAAUGAGAGUUCAUCAUGCUACAAAGAAUGGCACAGAAUAUACGACUUGUGAGUGGAUUAUCUCUGGAAUUUUCUGUUGACUACAUUUGUACUACAGUUGUAUGUGGGUAACAAACUGUGGAAAGUGAAACUUCGGGUAAGGGGGAGGCUACCGUAGAUAGCCCAGUAUUUCUUAUUUUGUGGAUUUGUUUAUCUUUCUGCUCACAUCCUUUUCCUUCUGCAUUACCAUUUUAGUAAAAAUAGAUAGCAUCCAUUUGGUGUUUAGUAUGUUUUUGGCACAGUCGAACAUUUUACAAACAUUAUAUCAUUUAAUCUGCAUAAAACCUAUACAGUAGGUACAACUAUUAUCCAGUUUUUUAGACAAGGCAAACUGGAUCACAGGGAGUUCAAAACGCCUCUUCCCUUGGUCAAGUUGGGUCAUGUAAUUGUCAAAGUUAAAACAUGCCCCUUAGGAGAUGAUUUAAAAUUCCCUAAUUUUUUAGAAGAAUCUUCAGUUUUCCCAGGAUAGAACAUUUAUUGAUAUGGUAAAUAUGUGGAAAGA